UACGUAGGGUGCAAGCGUUGUCCGGAAUUAUUGGGCGUAAAGAGCUCGUAGGCGGUCUGUCGCGUCUGCUGUGAAAACUCAGGGCUUAACCCUGAGCUUGCAGUGGGUACGGGCAGACUAGAGUGCGGUAGGGGAGACUGGAAUUCCUGGUGUAGCGGUGAAAUGCGCAGAUAUCAGGAGGAACACCGGUGGCGAAGGCGGUUCUCUGGGCCUUACCUGACACUGAGGAGCGAAAGCGUGGGGAGCGAACAGG
This 253-nucleotide ribosomal RNA is filed under the name uncultured bacterium. RNAcentral's name for it is "partial 16S ribosomal RNA". It matches the Rfam family "Bacterial small subunit ribosomal RNA", at positions 524 to 776 of the family's 1533-position model. The record is from RNAcentral.